Molecule: small RNA, 1613 nt
Filed under: uncultured Arctic sea ice bacterium
Lineage: Bacteria
Description: bacterial SSU rRNA
Rfam family: Bacterial small subunit ribosomal RNA (bases 1-1000)
Source: RNAcentral
UAGGGUGCAAGCGUUAAUCGGAAUUACUGGGCGUAAAGCGUGCGCAGGCGGUUUUGUAAGUCUGAUGUGAAAUCCCCGGGCUCAACCUGGGAAUUGCAUUGGAGACUGCAAGGCUAGAAUCUGGCAGAGGGGGGUAGAAUUCCACGUGUAGCAGUGAAAUGCGUAGAUAUGUGGAGGAACACCGAUGGCGAAGGCAGCCCCCUGGGUCAAGAUUGACGCUCAUGCACGAAAGCGUGGGGAGCAAACAGGAUUAGAUACCCUGGUAGUCCACGCCCUAAACGAUGUCUACUAGUUGUCGGGUCUUAAUUGACUUGGUAACGCAGCUAACGCGUGAAGUAGACCGCCUGGGGAGUACGGUCGCAAGAUUAAAACUCAAAGGAAUUGACGGGGACCCGCGCAAGCGGUGGAUGAUGUGGAUUAAUUCGAUGCAACGCGAAAAACCUUACCUACCCUUGACAUGGCUGGAAUCCUUGAGAGAUCAGGGAGUGCUCGAAAGAGAACCAGUACACAGGUGCUGCAUGGCUGUCGUCAGCUCGUGUCGUGAGAUGUUGGGUUAAGUCCCGCAACGAGCGCAACCCUUGUCAUUAGUUGCUACGAAAGGGCACUCUAAUGAGACUGCCGGUGACAAACCGGAGGAAGGUGGGGAUGGCGUCAAGUCCUCAUGGCCCUUAUGGGUAGGGCUUCACACGUCAUACAAUGGUACAUACAGAGCGCCGCCAACCCGCGAGGGGGAGCUAAUCGCAGAAAGUGUAUCGUAGUCCGGAUUGUAGUCUGCAACUCGACUGCAUGAAGUUGGAAUCGCUAGUAAUCGCGGAUCAGCAUGUCGCGGUGAAUACGUUCCCGGGUCUUGUACACACCGCCCGUCACACCAUGGGAGCGGGUUUUACCAGAAGUAGGUAGCUUAACCGUAAGGAGGGCGCUUACCACGGUAGGAUUCGUGACGGGGGUGAAGUCGUAACAAGGUAGCCGUAUCGGAAGGUGCGGCUGGAUCACCUCCUUUCUAGAGUUUGCACGAAUCAGUAAUGAUUCACGCAUCAAAUGUUCACACUUAUCGGCUGUUAAUAUAAAGAACAGCAUUUGGGGCUGUAGCUCAGCUGGUUAGAGCACCGUGUUGAUAACGCGGGGGUCGUUGGUUCGAGUCCAACCAGCCCUACCAGUUUCUGUAGUCUGGAAAUACCCUGGGGGGAUUAGCUCAGCUGGGAGAGCACCUGCUUUGCAAGCAGGGGGUCGUCGGUUCGAUCCCGUCAUCCUCCACCAAAAGUUCAAACGUAAAUCAGUGCAGAUGGUGCACCGGGAUUUAGGUUUGGUCUUUUCGAGAUCAAGUGCUGUAUGUUCUUUAACAAUCUGGAAGAAGUAAAGAUUAUUUAUUGAUUGGUUUGCCGUAAAACGCAAAUCGAUGGGUAAUGAUUGUAUGUAUCAACAAACAAGCAACAACGUUGUACUUUCUUAUUCCUGUAACGCUCUUUCAUCAUGUAAAUGAUGAGAGGCUAACGUUAUAGGGACAAGCGAAUAAGUGCACAUGGUGGAUGCCUUGGCGAUUACAGGCGAUGAAGGACGUAGUAGCUUGCGAUAAGCUGCGGGGAGUGAGCAAACACACUUUGAUCCGCAGAUUU